This 5032-nucleotide long non-coding RNA is filed under the name Sus scrofa (pig). Its description in RNAcentral is "lncRNA (ENSSSCG00065006293.1)". The record is from RNAcentral. Lineage: Eukaryota; Metazoa; Chordata; Mammalia; Artiodactyla; Suidae.
CAGCAUAUGGAGGUUCCCAGGCUAGGGGUUUAAUCAGAGCUACAGCUGCCAGCCUAUGCCACAGCCACAGCAAUGCAGGAUCUGCAGCCUACACCACAGCUCACAGCAAUGCAGGAUUCUUAACCCACUGAGCGAGGCCAGGGGUCGAACUUGCAACCUUAUGGUUCCUAUUCAGAUUCGUUUCUGCUGUGCCACAAGGGGAACUGUGGAAUACACAUUUUUAAGUGCAUAUGAAACAUUCACCAAGAUAGACCAUGUUCUGAGCUACAAAAUAAACUUUAACAAAUUUAAAAUAAUUAAAAUCAUACAAAAAUGUUAAUUAAUUUAGAACUCAAUAACAGAAAAAAAAAAUUAGAAAAUGUUCAAAUAUUUAUAAAAACCCACUUCCAAAUAAUUCAUGGGUCAAAGGUCAAAUUAUCAGGAAAAUUAGAAAAUUUUUUGAAUGUCAUAAAAGCUAAAACAACAUAUCAAAACACAUGGGAAGCAACCACACACUACUUUGAGGAAAAUGAAUAGCAUCUAAAUGUUCACAGAAUUAAAGAAAAAAGGUUUAUAAUCAACAACUUAAGCACCCACCUUAAGAAACCAAGAAAAGAAAAUUAAAUCAAAAUCAAGUCAAAGAAAAGCAUAAAGAUAAGAGUAAAAUUCACUGAAAAUGAAGACAGGAAAAUGAUGAAUGUGUAAAUCACUGAAAUCAAAAGCUGGUUCUCUGGGAGUCAAUAUUUGAUAAAUCUCUAACCAGACUGAGCAAGAAUACAACAGAAAAGACAUAAAUUACCGUCAUUAAAGAAGAGACAUAACUACAGAUCCUAGAGACAUUAAAAGAAUAAUAAAGGGAUACUGUAAAUAACUUUAUGCUAAUAUAUUUGGUAACACAGAUGAAAUGAACAAAUUCCUUGAAAGACACAACUACCAAAGUUCUCUGUAAAAAAAUAUAGCCUGACUAGCCCUAUGCUCAUUUAAAAAAAAAUGAAUUAAUAUGCAUUUAAGAAUCUCCCCACCAAGAUAACACCAGGUCCAAAUGGCUUCAAAUGUUAACUGUGCCAAACAUUUAAAGAAAAAAUAAUGCAAUAAAGAAUUCUAUGUAUAAAUUCUUGCAGAAAAAAAGGGAACACUCCCAAGUCAUUUUGAUGCUAGAAUUACUGUGAUACUAAAAUCCAACAAAGAUAAUACAGGCAAAGAAAAUUACAGACUAACAUCCCUUCUAAACAUAAGUAUCAUUCGUUCUAUGAAGCACAAUCAACCUGAUACCAAAACCAGACAAAAAUAACAGACACAAAAAAGAAAAUCAUAGGCCAAUAUCACUGAUGAACAUAGAUGCAAAAAUCCUUAACAAAAUAUUAGUUAACCAAAUCUAAAUAUAUAUUAAAAAGAUCAUACACCAUGAUCAAGUAGGAUUUAUCCCAGGGAUGCAAAGAUUCUUCAGUAUCCACAAAUCUAUCAGUGUGAUAUACCACCAUCAACAAAUUGAAAAAUAAAAAUCAUAUGAUCAUCUCAACAGAUUCAGAAAAGGCUUUUGACAAAAUUCAACUCCCACUGAUAAAAACUCUCUGAAGAGUGGGCAUAGAGAGGAACUACCUCAAUAUAAUCAAAAGCUGUUUAUGACAAACCCACAGCUAACAUCACUCUCAAUGGUGAAAACCUGAAAGCAUUUUCACUAAGAUUAGGAACAAGACAAGGAUGUCCACUUUCACCAAUGUUAUUCAACAUAGUUUUGGAAGUCCUAGCCAUGGCUAUCAGAGAAGAAAAAGAAAUAAAAGGAAUCCAAAUUAGAAAAGAAGUAAAACUAUCACUGUUUGCAGAUGACAUGAUACUAAGAAAAUCCUAAAGAGAACUGUUAGAGCUCAUCAAAUGAAUUUAGUAAAGUUGCAGGAUACAAAAUUAAUGCACAGAAAUCGAUUGCCUUUCUAUAUAUUAACAAUCAAAGAUCAGAAAGCAAAAUUAGGGAAACUGUCCCAUUUACCAUCUCAUCAAAAAGAAGAGAAUACCUAGGAAUAAACCUACCUAAAAAGAUAAAAGACUUGUACUCUGAAAACUAUAAGACACUAAUGAAAGAAAUCAAAGAUUUGUGUAAGACCCAAAUAGAUGGAAAGAUAUACCAUGCUCUUGGAUUGGAAGAAUCAAUAUAGUCAAAAUGAUAAUACUAUCUACAGAUCCCAAUGCAAUCUCUAUCAAAUUACCAAGGACACUCUUUAGAGAACUAGAACAAACUAUUUAAAAAUUUGUACAGAAACACAAAAGACCUAAAAUAUCCAAAGCAAUAUUGAAAAGAAAAAACAGAACUGGAGGAAUCAGGCUCCCUGACCUCAGACUAUACUUCAAAGCUACAGUCAUCAAAACAGUAUGGUACUGGCACAAAAACAGAAAUAUACAUCAAUGCAACAGGGAAGCCCAGAAAGAAACCCAAGCACCUAUGACAAAGGAGGCAAGAACAUACAGUGGAGGAAGUCUCUUCAAUAAGUGGUGCUGGAGGAGUUCCCAUAGUGGCGCAGUGUAAACAAAUCCAACUAGGAACCAUUAGGUUGCGGGUUCUAUCCAUGGCCUUGUUCAAUGGGUUAAGGAUCUGGCACUUCUGUGAGCUAUGGUGUAGGUCUCAGACAUGGCUCAGAUUUGUCAUUGCUGUGGCUGUGGUGUAGGCUGGCAGCUGUAGCUCCACUUCAACCCCUAGGCUGGAAACCUCCAUAUGUCUUGGGUGCAUCCCUAAAUAGCCAAAAAAAAAAAAAAAAAACUGGACAGCUGCGUUAAAAAAAUGAAAUUAGAACAUUCUCUAAUAACAGACACAAAAAUAAACUCGAAUGGACUAAAGACCUAAAUGUAAGGCCAGAUACUAUAAAACUCCUAGCAGAAAACAUAGGCAGAACACUCUUUAACAUAAAUCUCAGCAACAUCCUGUUUCAUCCACUUCCUAGAAUAAUGACAAUAAAGAGAAAAAUAAACCAAUGGGACCUAAUUAAACUCCAAAGCUUUUGAACAGCAAAGGAAAUCAUUUAAAAAAAAAAAAAAAAGACAACCUACAGAAUGGAAGAAAAUCUGCAAAUGAUACAACCAACAAAGACUUAAUCUCCAAAAUAUACAAACAUCUCAUACCAAAAAAAUAAACCACCCAACUGAAAAAUGGGCAGAAGACCUGAAUAGACAUUUCUCCAAAGAAGACAUAGAGCCAGCAGGCACGUGAAAAAAUGCUCAACAUCACUAAUUUAGAGAAAUGUAAAUCAACUAUAAUGAGGCACCAUCUCACACCAGUUAGAGUGGCCAUCAUUAACAAGUCAACAAACAACAAAUGCUGGAGAGUGGAGGGGAUGUGGAGAAGAGGGAACCCUCCUUCAUGGUUGGUGGGAAUGUAAAUUGGUACAAUCACUGAAAAACAGUAUAGAGCAAUUCCAAUCCUAGGUGUUUAUCCAAGAGAUGUAAAAACAUACACUCACACACAAAAUAAGACAACUAUCUCCAAGUGUUCAUAGCAUUUCUAUUCACAAGAGGAAAAAAAAAAAAAAAAAAGCCUGGAAACAACUCAAACACCCAGCAGCUUGCGGAUGGAUAAAACAACUGUGGCAUAGCCAUAUACUAGAAAAUUACUUAUUAACAAAAAGGAGCAAAGUACUGACACACACAACAUGGAUAAAUAUCUAAGGCAUUACACAAAGUGAGAGAACCCAGAAACAAAAACUAUAUACAGUAUGUAUCCACAUUUUGAAAAAAUCAGUAUUAUGGAAAAGGGAAAACCAUAGUGGCAGAAAAUGGGCUGGAGCUGAGGCAGAGAGGAAAGGGGGCACAAAGAAGACUGCAGGGGUGAAAGAAGUAUUCAACAUCACAACUGUGGUGAUUAUUAGAACAGUGUAAACAUUUGUCAAAAUCCAACAAACAAUAAACCCCAAAGGGAGUAUUUCAUUAUAUGUAAAUUAUACCUCAAUAAAUCAGUUUUUUUAAUUAAAAGAAAAGGAUCCGGGGAAGUUCACAGAAUCAGAGAUGGCCAGAGAAACAAGCUCAAGGUUAAAUUUCUAAGAAAACAUCCAAAACUAUACUGCAGAACUGGCUUGAUCAAAACGCUGCUGCAUCUAUCCCUUCAUUAAACCCUAAACGCCAGAACCUUACUGCUACUCAGCAGGGCACCCAACCCUACAACAAUAUUAUUCCCCCAAAGCCACACCUGCUGUGCACAGGGCCAGUUUUUCACAUGAUUCUCUUCCAAGUCAUGGUCUCACCUAUGUGCUUCCACCUGGAGAUCUGAAGUCCAAGUGGCAGAAGAGGCUGGAAACUGAAUUUUCACUUUUGACCCUGGGGAGAUGGAUCCAUGAUGUGGAAAUUUCUCUAAUUAUAGAAAUGCUCUCAAAAUAUGAAGCCAGACAUGAAUAGGACAAGUAUUGAUGACAACAAGCAGUAAAUGAAAAUGUUAAAAAUUCUUUCUCGGAAUUUCUGUUCUGGCUCAGUGGUAACAAACCCAACUAGUAUAAUCACGAGGACACAGGUUCAAUCCCUGCCCUUGCUAAGUGGGUUAAGCACCCAGCACUGCCAUGAGCUGUGGUGUAGGUUGCAGAUGCAGUUCAGAUUCCGUGUUGCUGUGGCUGUGGUGUAGGCUGGUGGCUACAGCUCCAAUUCAACCCUUAAACUGGGAACUUCCAUAUGCUGCAUGUGUGGCUGUAAAAAGCAAAAAAAAAAAAAAAAAAAAAAGUUCUUUAUCUUUCUCUUUCCUCUCCUCUACCUCUCCUAAGCCUUCCUUUGUCAAGCACCCUGUAUUUCCUCAACUCAGAGGCUUUUCCAAUGUGGGAAGCUGAAACUACCAAAGACAAACAGGCUUCCUGUCUCUAGAGAAAGCCUGGGCUACACUGAGCAGACUGUCCUGGAGAGAAGAGGUAGGAAGGGCUGCUAGGAAAGGCAUGGACACUGGCCAAGUUCCUGGAGAAGAGGGAAUCCAUGCUCUACUUUCCUACCAGGCCAAGGGAAAUAGCAGUGCCUUCAAAGACAUGGCUGCCCUUAGACAGUGGCCCUCUGUCACAGUACAGAGCUGCAAAGCUAGAUUCAGCAGACCCUGCAG